Long non-coding RNA from Orcinus orca (killer whale), 1580 nucleotides. RefSeq lists it as uncharacterized. The record is from RefSeq and is a predicted model, not a curated record. NCBI's taxonomy places the organism in Eukaryota, Metazoa, Chordata, Mammalia, Artiodactyla, Delphinidae. The transcript is spliced from 3 exons.
CCGCACACAGCCCUGCAGUUUCGUGGUGAGGACACAGCUAAUCAUAGCUGGUGUUUGCGGAGGAAGAAGGAUUUUGCCACAAGCUCCAUGACAGACUCUCUCCCUCCUUCUCCAGGAUGGCACAGCAGGUCUGAGGCACAAUGAUUCCGUGGCAAACGUUUUCAAAUUCUCAGCGGUUCAGGCUGUGCUGCUUUAUCAAUUGACUGAGCAUUUUCUAUAUGCCAGCUCUCCACUGGGUCCUGGGAAUCCAGAGAUAAAAUAGGACAGGGUUCCUCAUGAAGCUGAAGCAGCCAGAGAUACAGGAGCUCCACAGGCAUGUACCCUAUAACCACACAAGCAUACUCUGAUUGGAUUCUACCUGCCUGUACAGGACUGGCUCAGGAGCUAGGUAAGCCAUGUCUGAUGGUGGAGGCCAGCAGUGGCUCCAGCUUGGAGGGACCCAAGAAGAGGGAAUAAGGGAGGGGCUGGUGGAGGAAAGAGAACUUUUCAUUGAUUCAGUAAGUAAAUAAGUAAGCACUGAUUGUGUACUUUCUAUGGGCUGAGUCCUACAGACACCACGGUGAACAAGACAGCCGUGUCUCUGUACCCCCAAAACUGAGCCUACUGGGGGAGCAAUGAAAGGGAAACUUUGGGAAGAUCAUUCAGUGGCUACGUUCGGGAAAUAAAGUGCAGAGCCUGUGCAGGAGUGCUUGCCGAGGUCUAGUAAGAGAGGAUGAAAGCUAGGUGGUGGUCGAGGCUCCAACUGUGUCCUGGAGGGAAGGGCAGCAGACAGACCUGGCUCUGCCCCUGACCAGCUCCUUGGCUCUGGACAAGUUAGUUUUGGGGUCUUCAGUUCCCUCCUCUGUAAGAUGCGAAGAAUGGUACCUGCCUCACAGGGUUUGGGUGACUAUUAAAUUAGGUGACACAUAGAAAUCUUGGCUCUCAGUAAUGCUCAAUAAGUGGGGACUGGUGGGCUUCCCUGGUGGUGCAGUGGUUAAGAAUCCGCCUGCCAAUGCAGGGGAUGCAGGUUCAAGCCCUGGUCCGGGAAGAUCCCACAUGCCACGGAGCAACUAAGCCCGUGCACCACAACUACUGAGCCUGUGCUCUAGAGCCCGCGAGCCACAACUACUGAAGCCUGCGCGCCUAGAGCCCUUGCUCCGCAACAAGAGAAGCCACCGCAAUGAGAAGCCCGCACACCGCAACGAAGAGUGGCCCCCGCGCACCGCAACUAGAGAAAGCCCGCGUGCUACAACGAAGACCCAAAUCAGCCAAAAAUAAAUAAAUAAAAUAAAUUUACUUUAAAAAAUAAUUAAGUGGGGGCUAUUGUUAAUAAGAACAUUAAUAACUAGGUGAGGGACUUCCCUGGUGGUACAGUGGUUAAGACUCCGCACUCCCAGUGCAGAGGGCCCAGGUUCGAUCCCGGGUCUGGGAACUAGAUCUCACAUUCAUGUCGCAACUAAGGAGCCCGACUGCCGCAACUAAGACCCAACACAACCAAAUAAAUAAAUAUUUUUUAAAAAUUACUAGGUGAAUCUAGAAGUCUCGUUGAAGGAAUAAAUGACAAGACUUGGUGACUGAGUGUGGGAAAUAUUUUAAUUGAA